CCGUCUCUGUGGUUUGUAAGGUAGGUUGCAGUGUGUGUAUAUACACAACAUCAAGAGCAGGAAAAUGGACUCAUUAGGGAGGCAGGCAGUCAUUACCACUCACACUGUACUUCCAGGGAGACACCGAUUAUGAGAAGAGAAACUCAGCGCUGGGGAAGAAGUCAUAUAAAAAGAAGUAAUAAGAAUUGUCCUGUGAGGCUUUGAAGACUGAAGAGUACCUGAUAAGUUACUAGUCUUCUGUGCCCCAUAGAGCUGCUCAGUUCUGGAGUCCAGAAGUCCAAAAUCAAGGUGCUGCAGGUCCGCAGUCUUUCUGAAGACCCAGGCUGCCUGAAGUUACAUUUAGAGACUGAAAUCAUUGCACCUUAAAAACAAAAGAUUCAGCUACACUGCAUUCCUGAUGUUUCACCAUCAGUAACUGGAUAUUCCUCACAA
Condylura cristata (star-nosed mole) is the source of this 432-nucleotide long non-coding RNA. RefSeq lists it as uncharacterized. The record is from RefSeq and is a predicted model, not a curated record. Lineage: Eukaryota; Metazoa; Chordata; Mammalia; Eulipotyphla; Talpidae. The transcript is spliced from 6 exons.